AGCCUGAAUAUUUUAAUAUUAGGACUUUUAUCCGUUAGCUAUUUUUUUUAAUCUCAAUUCAGGAUUUGAAAGCUUAGUUUUGUUUAAGUUCUGUUUUAUCCGAACGGAGAGGUGAUGGUCCUAACCACUACUUAGGUGUUGCCAAAAUAGUAUGGCUUUAGACGGUUAAUAAUAAUUAACUUACGCUAUUUCAAAGUUUAGACGAGGCCAAAAGAUACCAAAACGUUCUACCCACUAGUAGAGAAGGUGUCGGUCAUAGAACAAACAUGAAGGGUUCAGGCUGCAAUGAUUUUUCCAUUAAUGGCCAUUUGUCAUCCAUAAUAGCGCCUGUGUGAUUUAUACUUGGGUUAAUAGCACUAUUUCUGCAACUUAAAAUAAUCCAAACUUUAAUCAACAUCACAAAAUGCACCUAUUUGCUUUGUGAUAAUUGGGAGCUGUGCCGUGUUCCAUUACUUGUACUUCCAUGAGUAUACUUAAAGGAAUAGUAUAUAUCCGUAUACUCAUAGGCGUCGAUUACGCCGGGGACGCGUCCCCACCAGUUUUCGUAAAGACUAAUUUUGUCCCCACCAGAAAAAAAAUAAAAUAAAAAAAAAUAAAAUUGAAUGCAGUUUUUUAAAAAUGAAUGUUAAUAGCGCGAGACAGAUGCGAACCAAUCCAUCUGGAUACGGCACACAGCCGUCAACAAUUUGCAACAAUUAUAACAUUUGGAUGAGUAGUUCUAGAAUGGGGGAGGGGUGGGUGGUACGGUGGGCGGCUCCUUCUCUGUGUAAUCCGAACCUGACAGCUUCCUGCGCACUUCCAUGGACAAUCUGCUGCGGUUGCAGCCUCAUGCAUUUGAGGAGAGGAGGUCCGGAGGAGGAACUUGUUUCUGCCAACUCACCUCUUCAUUGCCAUCUACCAGUUCCUGCCUUUCAUUAAGCCCUGAUGCACUUGGUUCCUGUUCCUUAUAAAUAAAUAAAAAUGUGUUAACUCAAUUGAUUAUGCCCUCUAUUUUAUGAGAUUUAUGUGGUGUGCAAACAAAAGUCUUGUAACCUUUAUUGUAAUGAUAUGACCACUAUGACGGUAUGUUGGUUGUGGUAUAUGUUAUCAAUAUUGUAAUUGGUUUUUGACAAAAUAUAGGUUUGGAGUGUGCGGUUGCCUGGUACCAUGGUUGUUACUUGGUACAAAUAAUAUGGAUGAUUUACGACCAUCUAGUGGGGAGUCUGAAAACUGCUAACGAAACGUUAUUGAAGUGAAAAUAAAAUUAAUCAU
Molecule: long non-coding RNA, 1251 nt
Filed under: Gadus morhua (Atlantic cod)
Lineage: Eukaryota; Metazoa; Chordata; Actinopteri; Gadiformes; Gadidae
Description: lncRNA (ENSGMOG00000037083.1)
Source: RNAcentral